RNAcentral lists this ribosomal RNA (379 nucleotides) under uncultured cyanobacterium. Its description in RNAcentral is "bacterial SSU rRNA". It matches the Rfam family "Bacterial small subunit ribosomal RNA", at positions 376 to 770 of the family's 1533-position model. The record is from RNAcentral. Lineage: Bacteria; Bacillati; Cyanobacteriota.
CGAAAGCCUGACGGAGCAACGCCGCGUGUGGGAAGAAGGCUCUUGGGCUGUCAACCACUUUUCUCAGGGAAGAAGUCCUGACGGUACCUGAGGAAUCAGCCUCGGCUAACUCCGUGCCAGCAGCCGCGGUAAUACGGAGGAGGCAAGCGUUAUCCGGAAUUAUUGGGCGUAAAGCGUCCGCAGGGGGCGCAUCAAGUCUGCUGUUAAAGGUCGGAGCUAAACUCCGGUAGAGCAGUGGAAACUGGUGCGCUAGAGGGCGACAGGGGUAGAGGGAAUUCCCAGUGUAGCGGUGAAAUGCGUAGAGAUUGAGAAGAACACCGGUGGCGAAAGCGCUCUACUGGGUCGCGCCUGACCCUCAGGGACGAAAGCUAAGGUAGCG